This 484-nucleotide ribosomal RNA is filed under the name uncultured bacterium. Its description in RNAcentral is "partial 16S ribosomal RNA". It matches the Rfam family "Bacterial small subunit ribosomal RNA", at positions 30 to 507 of the family's 1533-position model. The record is from RNAcentral.
AUUGAACGCUGGCGGCAGGCCUAACACAUGCAAGUCGAGCGGAUGAAGGGAGCUUGCUCCUGGAUUCAGCGGCGGACGGGUGAGUAAUGCCUAGGAAUCUGCCUGGUAGUGGGGGAUAACGUCCGGAAACGGGCGCUAAUACCGCAUACGUCCUGAGGGAGAAAGUGGGGGAUCUUCGGACCUCACGCUAUCAGAUGAGCCUAGGUCGGAUUAGCUAGUUGGUGGGGUAAAGGCCUACCAAGGCGACGAUCCGUAACUGGUCUGAGAGGAUGAUCAGUCACACUGGAACUGAGACACGGUCCAGACUCCUACGGGAGGCAGCAGUGUGGAAUAUUGGACAAUGGGCGAAAGCCUGAUCCAGUCAUGCCGCGUGUGUGAAGAAGGUCUUCGGAUUGUAAAGCACGUUAAGUUGGGAGGAAGGGCAGUAAGUUAAUACCUUGCUGUUUUGACGUUACCAACAGAAUAAGCACCGGCUAACUUCGUG